ACGGGAGGCAGCAGUGAGGAAUAUUGGUCAAUGGACGAGAGUCUGAACCAGCCAAGUAGCGUGCAGGAUGACGGCCCUCCGGGUUGUAAACUGCUUUUAGUUGGGAAUAAAAAAGGCCACGUGUGGCCUAUUGUAUAUACCAUCAGAAAAAGGACCGGCUAAUUCCGUGCCAGCAGCCGCGGUAAUACGGAAGGUCCAGGCGUUAUCCGGAUUUAUUGGGUUUAAAGGGAGCGUAGGUGGACUUUUAAGUCAGUGGUAAAAGCGUGUGGCUCAACCAUACCACGCCAUUGAAACUGGAAGUCUUGAGUGCACACAGGGAUGCUGGAAUUCGUCGUGUAGCGGUGAAAUGCUUAGAUAUGACGAAGAACUCCGAUCGCGAAGGCAGGUGUCCGGGGUGUAACUGACGCUGAGGCUCGAAAGUGCGGGUAUCAAACAGGAUUAGAUACCCUGGUA
Molecule: ribosomal RNA, 453 nt
Filed under: uncultured Alloprevotella sp.
Lineage: Bacteria; Pseudomonadati; Bacteroidota; Bacteroidia; Bacteroidales; Prevotellaceae
Description: partial 16S ribosomal RNA
Rfam family: Bacterial small subunit ribosomal RNA
Source: RNAcentral